This 71-nucleotide transfer RNA is filed under the name Ictinogomphus sp. MT-2014. Its description in RNAcentral is "tRNA-His". Lineage: Eukaryota; Metazoa; Arthropoda; Insecta; Odonata; Gomphidae. The record is from RNAcentral.
GUCUGAAUAGUUUAAUUAAAAUAAUGGUUUGUGGGACCGUGGAUGUAUAUAUUUAUAUUAUACUUUAGGCC